This 68-nucleotide transfer RNA is filed under the name Phalantus geniculatus. Its description in RNAcentral is "tRNA-Val". Lineage: Eukaryota; Metazoa; Arthropoda; Insecta; Hemiptera; Reduviidae. The record is from RNAcentral.
CAAAUUAAAGCUUUAGAAGCAUCGUUAUUUACAUUAACGAAAAUGUUGUGCAAUUCGACAUAAUUUGA